UAGCAUAUCAAUAAGCGGAGGAAAAGAAACCAACAGGGAUUGCCCUAGUAACGGCGAGUGAAGCGGCAACAGCUCAAAUUUGAAAUCUGGCUCUUUAGAGUCCGAGUUGUAAUUUGCAGAGGGCGCUUUGGCUUUGGCAGCGGUCCAAGUUCCUUGGAACAGGACGUCACAGAGGGUGAGAAUCCCGUACGUGGUCGCUGGCUAUUGCCGUGUAAAGCCCCUUCGACGAGUCGAGUUGUUUGGGAAUGCAGCUCUAAAUGGGAGGUACAUUUCUUCUAAAGCUAAAUAUUGGCCAGAGACCGAUAGCGCACAAGUAGAGUGAUCGAAAGAUGAAAAGCACUUUGGAAAGAGAGUCAAACAGCACGUGAAAUUGUUGAAAGGGAAGCGCUUGCAGCCAGACUUGCUUGCAGUUGCUCAUCCGGGCUUUUGCCCGGUGCACUCUUCUGCAGGCAGGCCAGCAUCAGUUUGGGCGGUAGGAUAAAGGUCUCUGUCACGUACCUCUCUUCGGGGAGGCCUUAUAGGGGAGACGACAUACUACCAGCCUAGACUGAGGUCCGCGCAUCUGCUAGGAUGCUGGCGUAAUGGCUGUAAGCGGCCCGUCUUGAAACACGGACCAAGGAGUCUAACAUCUAUGCGAGUGUUUGGGUGUCAAGCCCGAGCGCGUAAUGAAAGUGAACGGAGGUAGGAACCCGCAAGGGUGCACUAUCGACCGAUCCUGAUGUCUUCGGAAGGAUUUGAGUAAGAGCAUGGCUGUUGGGACCCGAAAGAUGGUGAACUAUGCUUGAAUAGGGUGAAGCCAGAGGAAACUCUGGUGGAGGCUCGCAGCGGUUCUGACGUGCAAAUCGAUCGUCAAAUUUGGGCAUAGGGGCGAAAGACUAAUCGAACAUCAGUGCAA
RNAcentral lists this ribosomal RNA (895 nucleotides) under Alternaria sp. RNAcentral describes it as "partial large subunit ribosomal RNA". It matches the Rfam family "Eukaryotic large subunit ribosomal RNA", at positions 36 to 950 of the family's 3401-position model. The record is from RNAcentral. Lineage: Eukaryota; Fungi; Ascomycota; Dothideomycetes; Pleosporales; Pleosporaceae.